GAUGAACGCUGGCGGCGUGCUUAACGCAUGCAAGUCGAACGAAGCAUUUCGGUCUUAAUCUUCGGAAGCGGACUGAUCUGACUGAGUGGCGGACGGGUGAGUAACGCGUGGGUAACCUGCCCUGUACAGGGGGAUAACAGUUAGAAAUGACUGCUAACACCGCAUAAGCGCACAGAAAGGCAUCUUUCGGUGUGAAAAUAUUUAUAGGUACAGGAUGGGCCCGCGUCUGAUUAGCCAGUUGGCAGGGUAACGGCCUACCAAAGCAACGAUCAGGAGCCGGCUUGAAAGAGUGAACGGCCACAUUGGGACUGAGACACGGCCCAAACUCCUACGGGAGGCAGCAGUGGGGAAUAUUGCACAAUGGGGGAAACCCUGAUGCAGCGACGCCGCGUGAGUGAAGAAGUAUUUCGGUAUGUAAAGCUCUAUCAGCAGGGAAGAAAAUGACGGUACCUGACUAAGAAGCCCCGGCUAACUACGUGCCAGCAGCCGCCGCAG
Molecule: ribosomal RNA, 495 nt
Filed under: uncultured bacterium
Lineage: Bacteria
Description: partial 16S ribosomal RNA
Rfam family: Bacterial small subunit ribosomal RNA
Source: RNAcentral